UUCACCUUCUGGUAAAGUAAACCCGACAGAUAUUAACUAUGAGUGGUUCAAGGCUUAAAAAUGCCACCAACUCAAACACAGUGAAUUUUUCGCAAACACUCUCGAUAAGUUUGUCUAGUCUAGUAAAGAUUAGAAUAAGUAUAGUUUUUAAAGUCUAUCGAGUCUGCAUUUAGUCUGCAUAUGUUUUAGAAGAGUCAUUUCUUUUCAUGUGGGG
This 214-nucleotide long non-coding RNA is filed under the name Brassica napus (rape). Its description in RNAcentral is "long non-coding RNA (BNAP_LNC027073)". The record is from RNAcentral. Lineage: Eukaryota; Viridiplantae; Streptophyta; Magnoliopsida; Brassicales; Brassicaceae.